RNAcentral lists this ribosomal RNA (305 nucleotides) under uncultured bacterium. RNAcentral describes it as "partial 16S ribosomal RNA". It matches the Rfam family "Bacterial small subunit ribosomal RNA", at positions 508 to 807 of the family's 1533-position model. The record is from RNAcentral.
ACAGCAGUCGCCGCGGGAAUACGUAGGUGGCAAGCGUUGUCCGGAAUUAUUGGGCGUAAAGGGCUCGCAGGCGGUUUCUUAAGUCUGAUGUGAAAGCCCCCGGCUCAACCGGGGAGGGUCGUUGGAAACUGGGAAACUUGAGUGCAGAAGAGGAGAGUGGAAUUCCACGUGUAGCGGUGAAAUGCGUAGAGAUGUGGAGGAACACCAGUGGCGAAGGCGACUCUCUGGUCUGUAACUGACGCUGAGGAGCGAAAGCGUGGGGAGCGAACAGGAUUAGAUACCCGAGUAGUCCCUGUCUCUUAUAC